RNAcentral lists this small nucleolar RNA (82 nucleotides) under Leersia perrieri. Its description in RNAcentral is "Small nucleolar RNA Z185". It matches the Rfam family "Small nucleolar RNA Z185". Rfam says of the family: Z185 is a member of the C/D class of snoRNA which contain the C (UGAUGA) and D (CUGA) box motifs. Most of the members of the box C/D family function in directing site-specific 2'-O-methylation of substrate RNAs. Lineage: Eukaryota; Viridiplantae; Streptophyta; Magnoliopsida; Poales; Poaceae. The record is from Rfam by way of RNAcentral.
UGGUCACAUGAUGUUUGAAAAUCACCACCCUCCGAAGCAGACUAAACGUUUGCAUUGCAGAAAUGUGAUAUUCUGAUGACUA